UACAGCCAAAUCACGUUGAAACACUGGUUUUUGUACGAUCACCGCAGUUAAGCAACUUCGGGUCAGGUCAGUACCUAAGAGGGUGAGCCCAUGGGAAUAAUAGGU
Molecule: non-coding RNA, 105 nt
Organism: Acanthosepion pharaonis
Lineage: Eukaryota; Metazoa; Mollusca; Cephalopoda; Sepiida; Sepiidae
Source: the annotation of a GenBank genome assembly